UCCCUCACGGAUCCAUAUGCACAUUCUGUCUAAGAGGAUGACUUCCCUGAAUAGAGGAGGACUGGUCUCAAUCAAGGGUACAUGAGUAGCUGCACUCCCCUGCUAGAACCUCCCAAAAAGCCAAUGGAUUCUUUACAGCCUGGAAUUCCAUU
RNAcentral lists this small RNA (152 nucleotides) under Meriones unguiculatus (Mongolian gerbil). RNAcentral describes it as "7SK RNA (ENSMUGG00000024229.1)". It matches the Rfam family "7SK RNA", at positions 95 to 273 of the family's 331-position model. Rfam says of the family: 7SK was discovered as an abundant small nuclear RNA in the mid-70s but a possible function has only recently been suggested. Lineage: Eukaryota; Metazoa; Chordata; Mammalia; Rodentia; Muridae. The record is from RNAcentral.